AUUGGUUUAUAUCUCAACUGUUUAGGUAUGGAAUCAUUUGAUGAGCUUUUAGAAAUGGAAUGCAAAGAAAACGUAUCUUCGGAUAUGUUUAAGAAGAUACUUAUAUGUAAACCGACACAUAAUCCUAUAAACAUCAUAAAAAAUCCGGAGCCAAAUAUUCUUGAAAUAACACAAUGUUUAGCGGCAAACUUAGCUCAUGCUUAUGAAGCUGAUUAAACUAGACUGGAGCUAUGAGUAUUUUAUCUUGUUUAUGAGUUAAUUUGAUACGUUUUAAUAAGUAUUUUAUGAUUAUAAGUCUUUAAAUCAUAACAUAUUUAUUAAAUAUAUUCAAUUAAAUAUAAAAAAAAAUAAAUCACUGUGGAAGUUGCUAGAAAAAAAUUAAAUAAAAACCUGAAUAGAAGAAUAGUAUCAUCAAUAUCGUUUAAUACACACAACAGACUCUUUCUUGGGUUUCCUCAUAGAACAUAUUCAUUUUCGUUCUACUAAAUAGCAGAUGUCUCCAUUCCAUUGACAGUCACGCUUGUCUGUUCGUGAUACAAAUGACCAACAAGAUCGACACGCCUGUUUAGUGGCCAAAACCAUAACUAAAUCCCUCUGCCUUGGGCCUAUUACGUGUGUAUCAAUGUGCAGUCUCAUUUGUCGAAAUGCAAAGAAGCGUAAAAAUGGAGAAAGCAUCACUUCUUUUCAAUAAACCCAAAGAGAAAAGUUGAUGCAGUAUUUUCCUUUGACUUUUGCCAGGUGUUUAGCACACCAGUCCAGGUCUCUUGUAAAUGAAACCAGAUAAAUAUGUUCUUCACGCUUUGCAAGAACUCUUCAAUAAUUUGUUGAUACCAGUUCCAAACUCUCUUUCAUAGCUUUGUGGACAGAAAACAGGUAAAACUGUA
This is a long non-coding RNA of Centruroides sculpturatus (bark scorpion), 884 nucleotides long. RefSeq lists it as uncharacterized. NCBI's taxonomy places the organism in Eukaryota, Metazoa, Arthropoda, Arachnida, Scorpiones, Buthidae. The record is from RefSeq and is a predicted model, not a curated record. The transcript is spliced from 3 exons.